Leptidea sinapis is the source of this 1374-nucleotide long non-coding RNA. RefSeq lists it as uncharacterized. The transcript is spliced from 5 exons. The record is from RefSeq and is a predicted model, not a curated record. Lineage: Eukaryota; Metazoa; Arthropoda; Insecta; Lepidoptera; Pieridae.
AUGACCUACUCGUUAAUAUUUCGAUACAGAUAUUGUUAUACCAACAUAUUUUGAUAAUUAUUGUUUAUAAUAAUUUUAUAUUUACAAUUUACAAUGCAAAAUGAAUCUCACAAAUCUAUUGGCGGUUUCGAGUGUGUUAUGUCGACGCCCGAGGGACUACAUGAGCUGGUAGCCGAUAUAUCUAGAGAAGUUUUGAGAGAGCAACCGGAUGACAUAAAUCUUUUCAUAGCAAAGUACUUGCGUUCGCUGCUAGAUGUACGAGACUCCAUCUCAAUAGCAGCCACACUGUGUAAUGAUCUAUGUGAAUGUAAAUAUAAUAAAGCCAUAUUAGAUGAAGAGUUAGAGAAGAUCGGACUGUUUGAAGAAGAUUAUGAUGUAGCGCGGAAGAUGAUUGUGGAUUACUUUGAUAAUAAGAAAGGUAAAGAGACGACGUUAUUAAAUAAAAUGACACGAAAAUUGAGCCUUGACUCGUCCCAAAUGCAGAAAAUACACGAGGCUAUCCAAAAAAGCUUCCGUAUGGGACUGAAGAAAUGUGGACAGUUUAAAGACGUCAAAGGUACACAAAACGGCUCUCAAUGUCAAAUUAAUGCAUCUCUCAGUAGUCUCGCCGGCUCUCACGUGGUUCUACCAAAACACACACCAUAUUCUGCGCACCAAUCCCAAAAGAAUAAAACUUUAAAGGAUACAACAGGCCACAAACACUGCACUGGCAAAAAAGAUAUCGUAGAAAAUGAAAAUGGUUAUCACUUAUCAAAUGAUUAUACAAGUUGUGUCGAAAAAUUGAUUGGAAUAAAAUUUGAUGAUUGUAUAUCUGGAACCACGUCAGUACAUAAUGAUUUAGAUGACAAUGCAGAUGAUUUUAGUGUUAAUACUGAAGACAGUUAAGAAUAAAGUAUUAAAGUAAAACUUCUUAUCAAAAUUAUACGUUUGGGACAGCUUCAGAUUAUUGACAGCUAAUUAAUGACAGUAGAAGGUAGUAAUUUAUCUCUAUCUGUAGAUAGUAUAUUGGGCCGUUAGAGAAUCAAUUCUUACCUUCAUAGGUCCAUUCAGUAGUGGCCAAUAUUUUUUUGAAGAAAAAAAAAUAUUGUCAUUAAUCUACCGAUAGUCGUGUAUUGCUAACACUUACCACUUCCGCUUUCACUUGGCUUUGUCGACAUUUGAAAUAGAUAUAUUAUAACAUUUUGGUAUGGAUGAUGAGACGGGUAAAGCCAUAGAUUUCGGUACCCAUAUCCAGUUGUUUACAUAAUCUUUGUAUAAUUAUAUUAUUAUCCAGUUGUUUACAAUAUUAUAUUCUAUGUAAUAUUAUUAUAACGAUAUUGUAAUGGCAUUUUAUAUAAACUACAGUUUUGUUAUAAUAAAGUUUAUUAUACUUUA